This 497-nucleotide ribosomal RNA is filed under the name uncultured bacterium. RNAcentral's name for it is "partial 16S ribosomal RNA". It matches the Rfam family "Bacterial small subunit ribosomal RNA", at positions 28 to 507 of the family's 1533-position model. The record is from RNAcentral.
GAUGAACGCUGGCGGCGUGCCUAAUACAUGCAAGUCGAGCGAACAGACGAGGAGCUUGCUCCUCUGACGUUAGCGGCGGAAGGGAGAGUAACACGUGGAUAACCUACCUAUAAGACUGGGAUAACUUCGGGAAACCGGAGCUAAUACCGGAUAAUAUAUUGAACCGCAUGGUUCAAUAGUGAAAGCCGGUUUUGCUGUCACUUAUAGAUGGAUCCGCGCCGCAUUAGCUAGUUGGUAAGGUAACGGCUUACCAAGGCAACGAUGCGUAGCCGACCUGAGAGGGUGACCGGCCACACUGGAACUGAGACACGGUCCAGACUCCUACGGGAGGCAGCAGUAGGGAAUCUUCCGCAAUGGGCGAAAGCCUGACGGAGCAACGCCGCGUGAGUGAUGAAGGUCUUCGGAUCGUAAAACUCUGUUAUUAGGGAAGAACAAAUGUGUAAGUAACUAUGCACGUCUUGACGGUACCUAAUCAGAAAGCCACGGCUAACUACGUG